RNAcentral lists this unclassified non-coding RNA (426 nucleotides) under Hevea brasiliensis (rubber tree). The record is from RNAcentral. Lineage: Eukaryota; Viridiplantae; Streptophyta; Magnoliopsida; Malpighiales; Euphorbiaceae.
AUAUUCUGAAGAAUAAGUUAGGAUUUGACGAGGCUUUCAAUUACAAGGAAGAGCCCGACUUGGAUGCAGCUUUGAAAAGGUAUUUCCCAGAGGGCAUUGACAUAUACUUCGAGAACGUGGGGGGCAAAAUGCUUGAUGCAGUGCUUCUGAAUAUGAGAGUUCAUGGUCGCAUUGCUGCCAGUGGGAUCUCUCAAUACAAUCUUGAACGCCAUGAGGGAAUAACCAACUUGAUGCAGAUUGUUUAUAAGCGAAUUCUUAUGAAAGGAUUUCUGGUUUUCGAUUACAAUCACACAUAUUCUAAGUUCUUGGAACAUACGUUGCCUUAUGUCAGAGAAGGAAAGAUUGUUUACAUGGAAGAAGUAAAUGAAGGAAUUGAGAGUGGCCCUGGAGCCUUGGAAAGACUUUUUACAGGCCAAAGUACUGGAA